GAGUCUCAACAGCAGCAGAGCAGGAGCAGCAAGGAGCAGCAAACAUGCUGCUGCUGGCCGCUCUAUUGGUCACAGCUGCAUGGUUUUACGGAUUUGCAUGGGGAAUUCCCAUACAGAGCCCUGUAUCCAUCACAAAGUCACAAGGAAGUAUACAUCUGCAGUGUCAUUUUGGAGACUUCUUUGGAGAUUUUGAUAACACCGUCAUUCACUGGUAUCAGCUGAAAGAGAAUAAACCUCCAGAGAGGCUACUCUUCUUUGCAGAAGGGAAAACUAGAGUUGAAAGUGGCUUUCAAGAGAACAAGUACAUGGCUGAUAACGUUUCUAGUCAGAAUCUGUCUAUUCUUACAAUAAACCAUGUAAGUCCAGAUGAUGAUGCUACGUACUACUGCGCCUACUGGGACCCACACCAUGAUAGAUGCUCAGAGACCAGCAAGCCACAAAACUCCUUCAACCACACAGCUUCAACUACCCAGAGCAAACACUGCACGGAUGCAGAGAGUCACAAAAGGGCUGGAAGGGACCUCUGGAGAUCAUCCAGUCCAACCUCCCUGCUAAAGCAGAUUCCCUAGAGCAGGUUACACAGGAAGGAGUCCAAGAAGGUCCUGAAUGUCUCCAGAGGAGACUCCUCACC
Gallus gallus (chicken) is the source of this 631-nucleotide non-coding RNA. Lineage: Eukaryota; Metazoa; Chordata; Aves; Galliformes; Phasianidae. The record is from the annotation of a RefSeq genome assembly.